Panicum virgatum (switchgrass) is the source of this 1663-nucleotide long non-coding RNA. RefSeq lists it as uncharacterized. Lineage: Eukaryota; Viridiplantae; Streptophyta; Magnoliopsida; Poales; Poaceae. The record is from RefSeq and is a predicted model, not a curated record. The transcript has 4 exons.
UACCCGGUGCUGCCCCGACAGCUCCUCGCACGCGCCGCCCCAUCCUCGUUGAGCUAGCCGCGCGCUGCCCAUCCUCGUCGAGCACCGCCGCCGCCCUAUCCCCGCCGCCUUCCAACUCCUCUCAUGCGCGCUACCCUGACCACUCCCCGCCAUGGGCCGCCCCGUGCACUCCUCGCCUCACGCCUCCCCGUCCCUCCCCAUUCUCUCUGCUUCCCAUGCCAACCAAGAUUGACGCAGAAGGGGGCCUAGGAGAGCGGCCCUCCUCCAGGUUUGCUCGCAGGAGGCCCCUGCGCUCACCUCGAAGCCGCUGGUCGCCUCCGCCAGUCGCCGCCGCCUCUCACCGACAAGGUUCGAUCUAGGGUUUCGCAGCCCACAGUGCCGCUGAAUCCUGAUGUCCCCCAAGGUCCAGCGCCUCCUCCCUCGAGCCCAAUCUUGAAACCCCCCUCGAACCCUUUCUUUUGAUCCAUCUUGCUGGGAAGACGACAUCCACAGGUUGGGUCAACUGCUGGGUAGUCCACUCGCCUUCUGCCCCCAACCCGUGAAGGCCUUUGGUGGAUCUGCACGUUGCUGGCUCAAACAACUUUUGGUGAAGGAAUGAAGAAAAGUAAUGCAGAUAUAUAUGAGAAGAUAGGACCAACGCAUAAGGUUAUUGUAAUCUGUCCUCUGUGAUAUCUUUUUCUUUCCAUGGAGAUGCUAUUUGUUUACUAAAAUGUCUGCUAGGAAUUGGGCAGGAUUUGUUCCAAGAAGCUUGGGUAGUGUUGUUCUCCAUAAAGUAAUUGAGGUCCGAGAGUAAAUUAGUCUUAUAAUUUCUUCAGUAUAUAACCUAACAUAUUGAAAAAGUAUGAGAGGUAGCUCAUUAUCUUCUCCAAGUCAACUUGUAUAUUUUUGUCUAUUUCUAUUACUAGACUACAUCUGUGUAGUUGAGAGGCUGCUUAUCCUGAUGAGUUUGAUGAUGGAUUUUGAGUGCUGAAACAGAGAUUUGCACUCCUGCUGAUGGAUUCUUUUGUAUCCUGCACACUUGCUGUACUUCUGUGUUGUCCUGCACUCCUAUUUAGCUUUGGUGUAGUUGACUUAAUUAGUUUGCUGUAGAGUUCUGUACUUCAGUCUAAGUUUGUGGAGUAUUUGAGUUGAGACAGACUUAUGAUGUCAUUUGUCAUGCUCAUGCAUGCAUGAACUAAUGCUUGCUAAUUUGUUAUCUUGCCUCUUGUGUAUUAUUUCCUAUUUAAUUCUCAACAACUGAUAACAUGUUUGAUUGCUGAAUUCUGUAAUCGUCAUGCAGUUUCCUUCAAGGAGGAAGGAUGCUACAUGGGAGAAGAUCUUUUGGAAAGGAAUGGAAGGAACCUGGGCUCAAGAAUAAGCAUCAAACGAGAUAUCAAGUGACAAACUCUGAGGCUGGAAACCAGUUAGCUGUUCAGAAAUGAUUACUGCAUAUAGUAUACCUCACUGAAAGCAUAUAGUGUACCUUACUGUUUAUUUCACAAUGUCAUUCCUUUUCCAUAUGUAGUGCAGAACUCUCUUGGCAAAUGUUAUCUUGACUCUUGGCAUGUAUGGAUGAUAUGCUGUAUAUAUGUUGUAUGGAUCACUCGUUGAAUUGAAUGUUUGUUUAGAAUUAUAUUGGGACCUUGUUAUGAAUGAAUGUAAUCAUUGUACAAUUAAAUUGCAA